CCUACGGGAGGCAGCAGUGGGGAAUAUUGCGCAAUGGGGGAAACCCUGACGCAGCAACGCCGCGUGAGUGAAGAAGGCCUUCGGGUUGUAAAGCUCUUUAAUCAGGGACGAAGAAUGACGGUAGCUGAAGAAUAACCUCCGGCGAACUACGUGCCAGAAGCCGCGGUAAUGCGUAGGGAGCAAGCGUUAUCCGGAUUUACUGGGUGUAAUGGGCGUUUAGGCGGGCCUGCAAGUCAGAAGUGAAAUCUGGGGGCUUAACCCCCAAACUGCCUGUGAAACUGUGGGUCUUGAGUGAGGGAGAGGUAGGCGGAAUGCCCAGUGUAGCGGUGAAAUGCGUAGAUAUCGGGCGGAGCUCCAGUGGCGAAGGCGGCCUGCUGGACACUAACUGACGCUGAGGCGCGAAAGCGUGGGGAGCAAACAGGAUUAGAUACCCUGGUAGUC
RNAcentral lists this ribosomal RNA (441 nucleotides) under uncultured bacterium. RNAcentral describes it as "partial 16S ribosomal RNA". It matches the Rfam family "Bacterial small subunit ribosomal RNA", at positions 338 to 795 of the family's 1533-position model. The record is from RNAcentral.